UGGGGAAUAUUGCACAAUGGGCGCAAGCCUGAUGCAGCCAUGCCGCGUGUGUGAAGAAGGCCUUCGGGUUGUAAAGUACUUUCAGCGGGGAGGAAGGGAGUAAAGUUAAUACCUUUGCUCAUUGACGUUACCCGCAGAAGAAGCACCGGCUAACUCCGUGCCAGCAGCCGCGGUAAUACGGAGGGUGCAAGCGUUAAUCGGAAUUACUGGGCGUAAAGCGCACGCAGGCGGUCUGUCAAGUCGGAUGUGAAAUCCCCGGGCUCAACCUGGGAACUGCAUUCGAAACUGGCAGGCUAGAGUCUUGUAGAGGGGGGUAGAAUUCCAGGUGUAGCGGUGAAAUGCGUAGAGAUCUGGAGGAAUACCGGUGGCGAAGGCGGGCCCCUGGACAAAGACUGACGCUCAGGUGCGAAAGCGUGGGGAGCAAACAGG
RNAcentral lists this ribosomal RNA (429 nucleotides) under Chloroflexota bacterium. Its description in RNAcentral is "Chloroflexi bacterium partial 16S ribosomal RNA". It matches the Rfam family "Bacterial small subunit ribosomal RNA", at positions 355 to 776 of the family's 1533-position model. Lineage: Bacteria; Bacillati; Chloroflexota. The record is from RNAcentral.